Long non-coding RNA from Oncorhynchus tshawytscha (Chinook salmon), 419 nucleotides. The record is from Ensembl. Lineage: Eukaryota; Metazoa; Chordata; Actinopteri; Salmoniformes; Salmonidae.
GUUUACGACUGGUUUAUAAAUCAUGUUAUCUACACAGACAUUAGUUAGGACAAGGUUUACGACUGGUUUAUAAAUCAUGUUAUCUACACAGACAUUAGUUAGGACAAGGUUUAUGACUGGUUUAUAAAUCAUGUUAUCCACACAGACCUCAUUAGUUAGGACAAGGUUUACGACUGGUUUAUAAGUCAUCUUACCUACACAGACCUCAUUAGUUAGGACAAGGUUUACGAAUGGUUUAUAAGUCAUGUUAUCUACACAGACAUCAUUAGGACAGGGUUUACGACUGGUUUAUAAAUCAUGUUAUCUACACAGACAUUAGUUAGGACAAGGUUUACAACUGGUUUAUAAAUUAUGUUAUCUACACAGACCUCAUUAGUUAGGACAGGGUUUACGACUGGUUUAUAAAUCAUGUUAUCCAC